AUAAUAAUAAUAAUAAUAAAGCUCUAAAUCAAUCCCGUUCAAAAUCGUAAGUUCUUUAAAAAUGAACUUCAAUGCUGGAACCCAAUUCAAAUAUGAUUGAUUUAGUAUUCAUAAUAUCCCACAAAUUUUAAAGUUAAUAAUUUUUAAGAUUUUUAUAGAGAAAAUAGACUGAGUUUUUUCUCUAUAAUUUUUGCAUUUCAAUUUUUAAAAUAGUGAUUUAAUCCUGAUUAGUGGUUAAGAUUAUACGAGAUAUUAUUUUAUUUAGUUAGAUUUUAGUAUAUAAAUAGCAAAAUCAAUCAGUAUUUGAGUCAAUUGAAGUGUAUAAAAAAAGAUUCUUUUCAUUCAAUAAAAAUACUAUUUGCUCUUUGGAAUUUAUUUUUGCAACAUUCUCAACAUUCUCACAAUACUCUCCUGUCCAAGCUGAAACUUGCUGCAAAAUUUUGGAAGUAGUGCCCAGUUUCAGUCAAAUCAGAUUCCAGGAAAAUAGACAUAUGAAUUUGCUUAGUUCUUCAGUAAGUGGACUGAAUUUAUAUUAUUUUUGCAAAACCAAAUAACAGAAGAAAUUUAAACAAAAUAAAAAAAUAAAUAAAACAUGACUCUGAAGUUUUAAUAAUUUAUCUUUAUCUUUUAUGAGCAAUUCACCAACAUUUUAUUUAAAAUAAACAAUAAGAUGUGCAAUGUAAUCCUGGAGCCUACCAGAUGAACAUG
This 708-nucleotide unclassified non-coding RNA is filed under the name Hevea brasiliensis (rubber tree). The record is from RNAcentral. Lineage: Eukaryota; Viridiplantae; Streptophyta; Magnoliopsida; Malpighiales; Euphorbiaceae.